Etheostoma spectabile (orangethroat darter) is the source of this 309-nucleotide long non-coding RNA. RefSeq lists it as uncharacterized. The transcript has 4 exons. Lineage: Eukaryota; Metazoa; Chordata; Actinopteri; Perciformes; Percidae. The record is from RefSeq and is a predicted model, not a curated record.
GUUUCAGCAAGAGCCUCGUUCUAUGGCUUCAGGUUUUAAAUCUAACAGCUUACAUACAUUUAUUUUUUUCCAGACAACUUGCAGGAGCAGUGGCUUGUGGGCCGUGGGUGGAGAAGACGGGCAAAGAUUUUGAUCCAUUUCCACUUCAAACAGAUGGACAGAGCUGUGGGAUCUUCAUGCUUAUGUACGCCCUCUGCAUCUGUACUGGUACCCAGUUUCACUUUUUGGACAGGGACAUACCAUCCAUUUGCAAGUGGUGGUGUCUCCAGAUUCUGGAGAAAUUCUCAAUCUCAACUUGUGAUUCACAAG